GCUAUAGAGUGGCGUUUUGGUUGAGGUUUGUUUAUGGCUCCUCAGACUGCUGUGUAUUGCUAUCCUGCAGUCGUUACUAAAGUUGGUUUAACUAGAGAAGCAAGCGGUUGCCAACAUUCAUCUCCCAAGGGGGUGUCUAACUCGGUGUUAUGGUGUGUUUGACCCUAAAUUAACUUUACGCUGGAAUAUCCCUUUAAGCUCUCAUUUAAUAAACUGGUACCUCUGGUGUAAACUAGCAACUAGCUAGCUAACUCAAUGUAGCUUGGCAGUGUUUCAACACCUGACUCUGAAACAAAGUCAGACAGAGAGCAAAGACAUUAAACACUUGCAUUAAAGAAAAUCUCGUGUAGGUCACAAACCCGUGAGAUUUGAUCUGGUGUCUCUGGGAUGAGGGUCAAAACAACCUGAAUAUGUUUGACUCAGAUAUAGGGAGAGUUUUUUGUUCUAUUUCUUAUUAAGAGGCAUCAAAGCCAGUGAGGACACAGACCUUUGGGGGGGGACCAUGAGUUUCCUCCACCUGGCCUUUCUGCUGGGAAUUCCUUCAGUGGCCAAACUUGCCGAUGGCGAACACCUACAUCCGCCACCGCAAAGUCACAGGGAACACCGGGGACGCUUGAUGUUACGAAUGACUGAGGAGGAGAACAAGAGUAACAUGGAGUCAGCUUUGCCAAUACAUUCAUCAUACUCAGGAAACCCCCCCACACUCUAACACCCUCUGUGGACCUAGUUCACUGUUUACAACCUCCCACGGUAGUUGUGAAGUGCACCGAUGUGAAUGUGAUGCAGAACUGCAGCCACUAAAUGCUAUUGCUGGCGGUGCUAUUUAUGUCUAUAUUUACCUCUCCUCACUUCUUUAUCAGUCAAAUAAAACACAUAAGGGUUUCAUUACCUCACAAAUAUACAGAAUAUUAAUAUUGUUGUAUUUUAAAGCAGCUUCCCACCUUCUUUUCCUUAUAUAUCCAUGCAGAGAUCCAGCUAGUGCUAGCUAAUGAAGCUCUAUUUUAGUCAUACACACUUUUUAAUGUCCCCAUUACAGUGGUGUUAUUUCAAAGCCCUCUACUUGCCUAUAUGGGGCGUAAAAGAAAAGUCUAAGCCAGUUUUCUGUGCUAGGGGAGCCUCAAGAACAUGUCUCUGUUAGAUAAGUUAAUUACCUUGUAUCCCACAGCUGCAGCCCAUCCCCCGCCGCCCAGUACAGGAGGAAUAAAAACAACACUCCUACAUGAUCGAAAUGUAUUUCAUGCUAAUGCUAUUUAACUCGCCGCUAUUAUCUCCGCCAUGUAAAACGCACCUGGUCUGCUAAUCGCGCAGCCAUCAACUAUGUAUAUUUCACCUUUGCAACAUACAUCACAGGCCUAAUUUACUGCACAGCGGAGGAGAUUUCACGAGGCAGGGAUGGAGGUUUGUGAAGCGUUGCAGCAGGAGGGUGAGUGUGUGCGUUUGUGAGUCAGCACCGUGCGUUAUAGCGGUGAAUUAGAAGUAUUUUCACAUGAUAGGUGAGUGUCUUUUCCCCCCUUCAACCCGGCACACGUAUAAACACCGGAGUGGAACAAUUAACCAUGAUUGCACUUGUUAUUGUCAUUUUCAUAAUAACAUGUAUAUCCUUUGUGCCGCUUAAUGAAUCAGCUGGGUGCUGUGUCACGUUGCAUCUUAACUGCUGUUUGUUGUCACGGCGUGCUCUAUGAAAACAUUUACACGGCAACAAUCGCACAUGAAGACGGUGAAUGGAUGUUGAUUUGUGUGUAUACCUGAGUACUUUAUCCUCAGACCUCCCCCCUCUGCAUAGGUCAGGGUUAGAGAUGAGCCAACGAGGCAGUCUGGACCAUAGACUGUAUAUAGAAUGGAUGCGUCUGCCUCCUCGCUGGGUGAAGCCACCCCGAGAACAGCACCCUCUGGUGACGGGCUGCAGUAUAGGUCAUAAAUCCCGCCUCCUCCAGCAAUCCCUAUGGAGCUGUGGACAAACUUUAGCAAUUUAUUACACAAAACGUACAUUUUUCUCCCCUUUGCUUGCGAUGUUGACAUGUCGUUAUUGUAAGACUGGUUUGUGCUCAAGUCCUCUUGUUUCUGUACAGCUCUGUUUUUCUAAGUUAUUAGGGGGUGCAAGUUUUCUAUGAUUGAUACAGUCUAUGGGCGUAAGAAGAUAGCGUAGCUCACCUGGAGGAUACGCCAUUCGAGCUGAGCAUCAUCACAGUGACUCUCGGGGACUGCGCAAUGUUGGUUUCAGGAAAUGGAGAGAAAACGCGGAAUUACCAAGAGCUUUUCAGCUUCAAAAUUUGUAUUCUGGCAGAAGGUGGAACCAAGUUGUCCAUAGUAUAUACAGUCUAUGGUCUGGACACAACCCAGCUCAUGAGCCUGGACACAGUUUUUUUAAAUUCAGCAUCAAGAAUCCCUAUGAAAUUAUCAGAAACAUAAAUUCAGGAGCCAACUAUUGCUGUCAAGAGCACAGUUCCCAGCUGUUCUCCAAAAUAAAGAUUCCAACCUCCAUUUUGUAAAAGACUCAUUCACUGCGUUUAGGUCAGUGGUUCUAAAGUCACACACCUGAUUCAAAUGAUCAGCUCGUUAUCAAGCUCUGUAACGGCUUGAUAACGAGCUGAUCAUUUGAAUCAGGUGUGUUGGAGCAGGGAAACAUCCAAAACAUGCAGGACAGUGGGGGCCUCGAGGACUGGACUUGAGAACCACUGGUUUAGGAUACGUCAAAGAGCCAGUGGAUUUCUGUUGACAUUAAGAAAAAUGUGAAGUGCUGCCAGGCUUUUCUGUAAGUUUUGUGUUGUAAGCCUAUAACACCACAAACCAGAGUGUGAAAAGAAGGGGUUUAAUGUUACUAAAACUUACUGGGGCCAUGAGAGGUUGAACAAGGACACACCUCGGCUGCAUGUUGACACGAGCACCUUCGUGCAGAAAGGCCUCUAGAUUCUGUUAGAUAUAACCUUAGCGAUCCUUUUUUGGAAGGUUCCCUAAGAGAAAUUUAAAAAAUGAAUAAAAAUUCAAUUAAAUUAACAGAAAUAAUUAUUAAGUCUUUUCUCCAACACGAUCAAAUGCACUUUAAACAGAAAUUAAACUAUAAAAAGGGGUAGGUAGGAAAGCUGUAGACAUGGACGAGCCUUCGACAUCAAGAAGCUGAAAAGUUAAAUAUAACCCCAAACCCAUCCACAUGUAUUCAAAAUCAGUAAAAUAUGUCUGCAGCAUCAAAUUGAUGUUUUGUAAAGAAUCCCGAAUUCUGUUGAUUUGUUUAUGUAUGCAGCUUGAGCUUGAGCAGCACAUAAUCCUGCAUGUCAGCACCGCUUUGCUUGAAGCUGUCUCCCGUGUUGUCUGUGUUAUGCACUCCAGUUGCUCUGCAAAUACAGUCGAAGCCCCCUCUCCGUGCACACACCUUUUUUUUUUUUCCACACAAACAUCCUCGCGCGCUGAAAGUCAGCAUGAGGGCUCAGUUUAGCCCCCCGUGUGAGGCGUGUUUUUCGCCGGAUUAUCCCGACUCCACCUCGUCUGUGAACAGCUUAAAGUUGAGGGGGGGGGAGAAAAACUACUCCUCCUCUUGAUAUCUCGCUGGCUUAAUGACUAAUAAACCCUUUUGUUGGUGCUCAAAGUCAAAGGAGCAGCUAACACCAGCAAAACAAACACGUCUAAUAAACACAGCUUAAUGCAACCUUAAAAGUCACGAGUGCAAAGCUGGAAGAACAUAAAGACUCCUUGUUUAUUUUUUGCCUAAUUCUUAAAAUGCUUCUUUAUGAGGUCUUCUUCUCAUGUGGCAGCUGUUGAGCAGCCUCUGCCUCUUUCAAUGUAUCAUUACCCCCCUCUGGUGGCGCAUUUUUGAAGUGAACCCAGUGAAGACCACUCAGGAAGUAUAUUUAAAACAUCUUCACCACCUCAUUGUUAUGACCUAACACAUUCUGGCUUGGUGUUAAACAAGGAGAAACAGUAUAACACUCGCUGUAGAUUUUAUUAGUCGAGCAGAGUACUGUGACUCAUUUCCAAGUCAGCGGUUGGAGGAGUUGCUUCAGUAUGCGGUGUGCUCUUCUUCACAGGGUGACUCUCUUUCCCUUUUUUUCUUUCCCUGCCUCUCACUCUUUCAUUCACAGUUGAAUUCAUUAACUCCACCGCCGUGCUGCCAAUGCGGCGAGGAAUGUAAAUCAAGACGACAGGACAGAUAUUAACAGACGUCAACUAAUAACGCCGACUGAUGUUAUCAGGGAAAUGCAAUAUUCAAGAACUCUGAGGUCUCUUUCACUUUAGAGCCACCUUAGCUCUGUUUCGGCUGUUUCAUUCUCCGCCCUCCCUCCUUUUCCCUGUGGACGCGCGACACCUGGGCACACAUGGCCUCAUUCAGCCGAUUAUUCUUUGUUCAUGGCAUGCCUGUGCAGUAGCAAAUCUCGCACGAUUUAUUUGAAUCUAUUGCUCUUUUCACUCCCCCAUCUCUUUCUCAGUCUCAGCGUCAGACAGAAACUUUCUUUUUAUCUCUAUCUCCUUUCAGCACCUUAUCCACCUGCGCCAGUGCACCAACGCUGAUGGAUUUAAAGUUGAAUUGCCAACCAACUUGAUUUCACCUCUGCCUUGCAUAGAGCUUGACUAAACCUCCGUUUGCACCUGGCGUUAGCAUCUGUGUUUCGAUACCCUGAAGAAAAACAUUUAAGAGGUGGAGGAGAACAGACCGCGAUUCACCCAGAAGUUCUUUUAACAAUGAGUGCAAUUACUCCCAAGUGCUACACUCCAUAAUAAUGAUGCUAUUUGACCCUAAGUUAGGUAUCUAUGCAUUUUAUUGCAAACUAUCUUUAUGAUUUUCUGGCAAUCUGAUCGUCAAACAUAUUUUGCUGAAAGUAAAAUGAUGUCAAACAGCAGUCAUAGGGAGAUAGCGCCCUCUGUGGCUAAAAAAUCAUUGAUAUUUAGUUUCCGUCGUAUUAAUUUGCAUCAUCCCUUAGGUGACCUGAUUUUGUAUCACCGUACAAGACACCAUAACAUCCUAAUCCCAUGUAUUUUAACUCUGGGAGUAUAAAGUAGAGUAAUGCACAAUACUGUAGAAUAGAGGGUGGCAGAGAACAAUACAUUACAGUGCAGUAAGACAAAGGGUCAUUCUUAUUCACAAAAACUAACAAAAUCCUGAAAGCUAACAAAAUCACAAAAACACUUACAAACUCUUUAAAACUCAUAUAUAAACAGUAAUGAAAUCGCAAAAACUACCGAACUCCUGAAAACUAACAGAAUCACAAAAACUCAUUAAGUUAUGAAAACCAAUGAAAUCAGGAAAACUUACAAAAUCUUGAAAACUAACAAAAUCAUGAAAAAACUGACAAACUCUUGAAAACGAAUAAAUUAAUAAACAAACGAAAUCGCAAA
Molecule: non-coding RNA, 5325 nt
Organism: Xyrichtys novacula (pearly razorfish)
Lineage: Eukaryota; Metazoa; Chordata; Actinopteri; Labriformes; Labridae
Source: the annotation of a GenBank genome assembly